GUCCCUAUUGUAUAGUGGCUUAGGAUAUCAGUGUCUCAUGCUGGAGACAGAGGUUCGAAUCCUCUUAGGGGUA
RNAcentral lists this transfer RNA (73 nucleotides) under Planctomycetota bacterium. RNAcentral describes it as "Planctomycetes bacterium (marine sediment metagenome) tRNA-Glu". It matches the Rfam family "tRNA". Rfam says of the family: Transfer RNA (tRNA) molecules are approximately 80 nucleotides in length. Their secondary structure includes four short double-helical elements and three loops (D, anti-codon, and T loops). The record is from RNAcentral. Lineage: Bacteria; Pseudomonadati; Planctomycetota. RNAcentral also lists the same sequence under 1 other name.